Long non-coding RNA from Pseudomyrmex gracilis, 443 nucleotides. RefSeq lists it as uncharacterized. The record is from RefSeq and is a predicted model, not a curated record. The transcript has 3 exons. Lineage: Eukaryota; Metazoa; Arthropoda; Insecta; Hymenoptera; Formicidae.
GCUUUAUUAAACCUACGAGAGAGCGGCUUAUAGCUCAGUUAUACGAUAGAUCUGUGUGGGAUUAGUAACCGGAAGAUUCCAGAUUCGAAUUCGGCUUGAACACAGUCAGAUUUUUACGCUUUUCUUCCGUUGAAUCGAUCACACUACAAUGAUUGAAGUACUAUUGUUUAUUAUUUUUCUUAUAUCGAUGUAUCAUUUUUAUUUACACUAUGGCAAAACAGGAAGAUUGAUUAAUUUAAUUUCCGGACCACCAACCAUAUCAAUAUUAGGAAAUUCCCUUUUGUUCAACGUUCCAUUAGAUAAACUAUGGCAAGUACUAUGUAAAUUAUAGAAUCAGUAUUAUCCAAUUGUAAGAUUAUGGAUAUGUCAUAUGCCAUGGAUAAUAAUCUGUCAUCCAGAUGACUAAAAGUGUGAUAUACAAAUAUAAUUUAUUUUUGAUCUUU